Molecule: ribosomal RNA, 406 nt
Filed under: uncultured bacterium
Lineage: Bacteria
Description: partial 16S ribosomal RNA
Rfam family: Bacterial small subunit ribosomal RNA
Source: RNAcentral
AUUGAACGCUGGCGGCAGGCCUAACACAUGCAAGUCGAGCGAGCGGCGGACGGGUGAGUCAUGUCGGGGAACCUGCCUGAUGGCGGGGGAUAACUCCUGGAAACGGUAGCUAAUACCGCAUACCAUCAGAUGUGCCCAGAUGGGAUUAGCUAGUAGGUGGGGUAACGGCUCACCUAGGCGACGAUCCCUAGCUGGUCUGAGAGGAUGACCAGCCACACUGGAACUGAGACACGGUCCAGACUCCUACGGAAGGCAGCAGUGGGGAAUCUUGCACAAUAGGCGAAAGACUGAUGCAGCCAUGCCGCGUGUGUGAAGAAGGCCUUCGGGUUGUAAAACACUUUCGGUGGGGAAGCGUUACCCGCACAAGAAGCACCGGCUAACUACGUGCCAGCAGCCGCGGUAAUAC